RNAcentral lists this ribosomal RNA (459 nucleotides) under uncultured bacterium. RNAcentral describes it as "partial 16S ribosomal RNA". It matches the Rfam family "Bacterial small subunit ribosomal RNA", at positions 338 to 795 of the family's 1533-position model. The record is from RNAcentral.
CCUACGGGAGGCAGCAGUGAGGAAUAUUGGUCAAUGGUCGGGAGACUGAACCAGCCAAGCCGCGUGAGGGAUGAAGGUACAGAGUAUCGUAAACCUCUUUUGUCAGGGAACAAAGGCGGGGACGCGUCCCCGGAUGAGUGUACCUGAAGAAAAAGCAUCGGCUAACUCCGUGCCAGCAGCCGCGGUAAUACGGAGGAUGCGAGCGUUAUCCGGAUUUAUGGGGUUUAAAGGGGGCGCAGGCGGUCUGUUAAGUCAGCGGUCAAAGCCCGGGGCUCAACCCCGGCACGCCGUUGAAACUGGCAGUCUCGAGUUGGAGAGAAGUAGGCGGAAUGCGCGGUGUAGCGGUGAAAUGCAUAGAUAUCGCGCAGAACUCCGAUUGCGAAGGCAGCAUGCCGGCUCCACACUGACGCUGAGGCACGAAAGCGUGGGUAUCGAACAGGAUUAGAUACCCCUGUAGUC